CGCUGAGUUUGAUCCUGGCUCAGGAUUAACGCUAGCGGCAGGCUUAACACAUGCAAGUACGAGGGGUAUAGUUCUUCGGAACUAGAGACCGGCGCACGGGUGCGUAACGCGUAUGCAAUCUACCUUUUACAGAGGGAUAGCCCAGAGAAAUUUGGAUUAAUACCUCAUAGUAUGUGAGAAUCGCAUGGUUUUUCACAUUAAAGUUCCAACGGUAAAAGAUGAGCAUGCGUCCCAUUAGCUAGAUGGUAAGUAACGGCUUACCAUGGCGACGAUGGGUAGGGGUCCUGAGA
Molecule: ribosomal RNA, 290 nt
Filed under: uncultured Flavobacterium sp.
Lineage: Bacteria; Pseudomonadati; Bacteroidota; Flavobacteriia; Flavobacteriales; Flavobacteriaceae
Description: partial 16S ribosomal RNA
Rfam family: Bacterial small subunit ribosomal RNA
Source: RNAcentral